Molecule: ribosomal RNA, 253 nt
Filed under: uncultured bacterium
Lineage: Bacteria
Description: partial 16S ribosomal RNA
Rfam family: Bacterial small subunit ribosomal RNA
Source: RNAcentral
AACGUAGGAGACAAACGUUAUCCGGAGUUACUGGGCGUAAAGGGCGUGUAGGCGGUUAGUUAAGUCUGGCGUGAAAGCUCUCGGCUAAACCGGGAGAGGUCGUUGGAUACUGUCUGACUAGAGGACGGUAGAGGCGUGUGGAAUUCCGGGUGUAGUGGUGAAAUGCGUAGAGAUCCGGAGGAACACCAGUGGCGAAGGCGACACGCUGGGCCGUACCUGACGCUAAAGCGCGACAGCAUGGGGAGCAAACGGG